RNAcentral lists this ribosomal RNA (693 nucleotides) under Trichonephila fenestrata. RNAcentral describes it as "bacterial SSU rRNA". It matches the Rfam family "Eukaryotic small subunit ribosomal RNA", at positions 420 to 1115 of the family's 1831-position model. The record is from RNAcentral. Lineage: Eukaryota; Metazoa; Arthropoda; Arachnida; Araneae; Nephilidae.
GGAAGGCAGCAGGCACGCAAAUUGCCCAAUCCCGGCACGGGGAGGUAGUGACGAAAAAUAACGACGCUGGACUCUUCGAGACCCAGUCGUCGGAAUGAGUACGCUCUAAACCCUCUAGCGAGGACCUACUGGAGGGCAAGACUAAUGCCAGCCGCUGCGGUAAUUUUAGCUCCAGUGGCGUAUACUAAAAUUGUUGCGGUUAAAAAGCUCGUAGUCGGACAUCCGCUCUGUACGCAGGGGGCCGCUAGCGCGGUCGUCCAUGCGCAACCGGCAUGUUGCCCUUCACGGAGGUGGAUUUUAAAAGGUCUGCCGAAGUGGAAGGCGGUGGAUCGCUUUGCGAAAAUUAGAGUGCUCCAAGCAGGCGUGCAAGCUCGAAUAGUAACGCACGGAACGAUGGAAGACGACCCCGGCUCUCGGUUCUUUGGCGUGGAGGGCCCGGGGUGAUGAUCAAUAGGAGCAGACGGGGGCAUUCGUAUUCCGGCGCUAGAGGUGAAAUUCUUGGACCGCCGGAAGACGACCCACUGCGAAAGCAUUUGCCAAGAAUGCUUCCCUUGACCAAGAACUAGAGUUCGAGGCUCAAAGAAGAUUAGAUACCUUUGUAGUUCCGACCCCAAACGAUACCGGCCAGUGAUCCGGCUGCGUACGUGAGUGACGCGCCGGGCAGCUCUUCCGGGAAACCUGAGUUCAGGCUCC